Molecule: ribosomal RNA, 253 nt
Filed under: uncultured bacterium
Lineage: Bacteria
Description: partial 16S ribosomal RNA
Rfam family: Bacterial small subunit ribosomal RNA
Source: RNAcentral
UACAGAGGUCCCGAGCGUUGUUCGGAUUCAUUGGGCGGAAAGGGUGCGUAGGCGGCGGGGUAAGUCUGAUGUGAAAUCCUGGGGCUCAACCCCAGAACUGCAUUGGAUACUGCCUUGCUAGAGUACUGGAGAGGAAACUGGAAUUUACGGUGUAGCAGUGAAAUGCGUAGAGAUCGUAAGGAAGACCAGUGGCGAAGGCGAGUUUCUGGACAGUAACUGACGCUGAGGCACGAAAGCGUGGGGAGCAAACAGG